AACCGGAUUAGAUACCCUGGUAGUCCAUGCCGUAAACGAUGUCUACUAGCCGUUGGGGCCUUUGAGGCUUUAGUGGCGCAGCUAACGCGAUAAGUAGACCGCCUGGGGAGUACGGUCGCAAGACUAAAACUCAAACGAAUUGACGGGGGCCCGCACAAGCGGUGGAGCAUGUGGUUUAAUUCGAUGCAACGCGAAGAACCUUACCUGGUCUUGACAUAGUAAGAACUUUCCAGAGAUGGAUUGGUGCCUUCGGGAACUUACAUACAGGUGCUGCAUGGCUGUCGUCAGCCCGUGUCGUGAGAUGUUGGGUUAAGUCCCGCAACGAGCGCAACCCUUUUCCUUAUUUGCCAGCGGGUUAAGCCGGGAACUUUAAGGAUACUGCCAGUGACAAACUGGAGGAAGGCGGGGACGACGUCAAGUCAUCAUGGCCCUUACGACCAGGGCUACACACGUGCUACAAUGGUCGGUACAAAGGGUUGCUACCUAGCGAUAGGAUGCUAAUCUCAAAAAGCCGAUCGUAGUCCGGAUUGGAGUCUGCAACUCGACUCNNUGAAGUCGGAAUCGCUAGUAAUCGCGGAUCAGAAUGCCGCGGUGAAUACGUU
Molecule: ribosomal RNA, 602 nt
Filed under: uncultured Acinetobacter sp.
Lineage: Bacteria; Pseudomonadati; Pseudomonadota; Gammaproteobacteria; Moraxellales; Moraxellaceae
Description: bacterial SSU rRNA
Rfam family: Bacterial small subunit ribosomal RNA
Source: RNAcentral